This 403-nucleotide ribosomal RNA is filed under the name uncultured Flavobacteriaceae bacterium. Its description in RNAcentral is "bacterial SSU rRNA". It matches the Rfam family "Bacterial small subunit ribosomal RNA", at positions 96 to 497 of the family's 1533-position model. Lineage: Bacteria; Pseudomonadati; Bacteroidota; Flavobacteriia; Flavobacteriales; Flavobacteriaceae. The record is from RNAcentral.
UGGCGCACGGGUGCGUAACGCGUAUGCAACCUACCUUUUACUAGAGUAUAGCCCAGAGAAAUUUGGAUUAAUCCUCUAUAACAUCUUUAAAUUUCAUGAUUUUUAGAUUAAAGUUUUAAUGGUAAAAGAUGGGCAUGCGUCCUAUUAGUUUGUAGGUGAGGUAACGGCUCACCUAGACUACGAUAGGUAGGGGCCCUGAGAGGGGGAUCCCCCACACUGGUACUGAGACACGGACCAGACUCCUACGGGAGGCAGCAGUAAGGAAUAUUGGACAAUGGACGAAAGUCUGAUCCAGCCAUGCCGCGUGCAGGAUGAAAGCCCUAUGGGUUGUAAACUGCUUUUAUACAGGAAGAAAAACUCCGACGUGUCGGAGCUUGACGGUACUGUAAGAAUAAGGAUCGGC